RNAcentral lists this long non-coding RNA (692 nucleotides) under Ricinus communis (castor bean). RNAcentral describes it as "long non-coding RNA (RCOM_LNC000890)". Lineage: Eukaryota; Viridiplantae; Streptophyta; Magnoliopsida; Malpighiales; Euphorbiaceae. The record is from RNAcentral.
UGCAUUCUGUUAUAUACACUUGUAGUCUAACGGUAAUUUUCUGUGUAGGGAAAGGUAGAAGCAGCCUUUUCCCUUAGGGGAGAGGUGUUGCUCAUUUUCCCUAACUAGGCCUGUGAUGAUUUUGAUAUCUGAGGCCAUGACCAACAGGCAAUGACUGUUGGUCCUUACUGUCGGUCUUUGUCUGCUGAGUUUUGCAGGUAUUGUAUGAUUUGGUUGCUUCAACAGAUUAUAUACCUAAUAUCAACCAUUAUAACUUCAAAUUCCCAUAAUCCUGGAGAGUCCUUUUGUUUUUGGGCAAUUGAUCAGCUUUAGACAAUCUGAUUCAAAGCCUGUAGCUUGUUGCAUACCUAAACCUUCCCUUACUAAGGCUGAAUGCAGAUUCCCUCUGUAUUUACCUCCAUCAAUAACUAUACAUCCAUAGAAGCAUAAGAUGAGCAGUCACAAUUAAAUUUAAGAAAGUCGAUUGCUGGUCGGCACCAUCUGCUUGGCCAAACAACUUGAGGGGGAGCAAGGCACUCCUUGAACUCAGAGAAAGCCCUUUCUGCAGUGUACCAACCAGUGAAAGUGAUCCUUUCACAUAAAUGGUCCGUUCCCUGAUUCAGCACCUUCCAUAAUGCAGUUACACCAUCUCUGAACAGAGGGGAACCCUAUUGGUGAUAGAAUGUACCCCAAUGGGCACACAGAGACCGCAU